CGACCUCAGAUCAGGCGAGACUACCCGCUGAAUUUAAGCAUAUUAAUAGGCGGAGGAAAAGAAACUAACGAGGAUUCCCCAAGUAGCGGCGAGCGAACAGGGAGAAGCCCAGCACGGAAUCCCGUGCGGCGACGCACAGGGAGAUGUCGUGUGUGGGAGGUUCCACUUUGCCGGGAGUCAGCAGCGAGUCCAAGUCUCCCUUGAACGGGGCCACAGCCCGCAGAGGGUGCCAGGCCCGUAGAGACCGCGGCUGCUCUCGGGAGGAACUCUCCUCAGAGUCGUGUUCCUUGAGAGUGGAGCACCAAGAGGGUGGUAAACUCCAUCUAAGGCUAAAUAUGACCACGAGACCGAUAGCGAACAAGUACCGUGAGGGAAAGUUGAAAAGAACUUUGAAGAGAGAGUUCAACAGUACGUGAAACCGUUCAGGGGUAAACGGGAGAGAUCCGAAAGGUCGAAAGGGGGAGACUCAAUCCCGUCCGCGAGUCUGGUGCCGUUCUCGGUCCCACGGAUGCUGCCGGCCGCCGGUCGCGUCGCAAGGCGCGAUCCGGGUCGGAGUCGGUGGCACCGGGGCUGGAGGCCCAGCUGCGGCGAGGUGCACUUCUCCCCCGAGUAGGACGUCGCGACCCGUUGGGCACGUCCGGCCUAAGGCCCGGGAUGAGGCCGAGGAGGCUGCCGCGCAAUCGCGCGGGUCAACGGUCUCCCGGACCCUGGAUGUCCUGGCCGGCGCCCGACGGCAUGCUUCGAGGAGAAGGCCCGCUCCCUCGCAGAGCGAGCGUCCGGCCUGGCGGACAAGCUCGACGCAGGGCACGCGGUGCCGUGGCUUCCGCCACGUCCCCGGCCCCCGUUGGCUGUUGGUCCCCGGAGUCCUCGGACGGUGGCCGUCUCCCGUCUGCGGCGCUUCUGCUUCGGAUGCUUUCCCGACCCGUCUUGAAACACGGACCAAGGAGUCUAACAUG
RNAcentral lists this ribosomal RNA (956 nucleotides) under Blaberus discoidalis (tropical cockroach). RNAcentral's name for it is "eukaryotic LSU rRNA". It matches the Rfam family "Eukaryotic large subunit ribosomal RNA", at positions 1 to 682 of the family's 3401-position model. Lineage: Eukaryota; Metazoa; Arthropoda; Insecta; Blattodea; Blaberidae. The record is from RNAcentral.